This 366-nucleotide ribosomal RNA is filed under the name uncultured organism. RNAcentral describes it as "bacterial SSU rRNA". It matches the Rfam family "Bacterial small subunit ribosomal RNA", at positions 526 to 896 of the family's 1533-position model. The record is from RNAcentral.
CGGAGGAUCCAAGCGUUAUCCGGAAUCAUUGGGUUUAAAGGGUCCGUAGGCGGGUUUAUAAGUCAGUGGUGAAAGCCCAUCGCUCAACGAUGGAACGGCCAUUGAUACUGUAGAUCUUGAAUUAUUAGGAAGUAACUAGAAUAUGUAGUGUAGCGGUGAAAUGCUUAGAGAUUACAUGGAAUACCAAUUGCGAAGGCAGGUUACUGCUAAUGGAUUGACGCUGAUGGACGAAAGCGUGGGUAGCGAGCAGGAUUAGAUACCCUGGUAGUCCACGCCGUAAACGAUGGAUACUAGCUGUUCGGAGCAAUCUGAGUGGCUAAGCGAAAGUGAUAAGUAUCCCACCUGGGGAGUACGUUCGCAAGAAUG